AACGAACGCUGGCGGCAUGCCUAACACAUGCAAGUCGAACGAACCCUUCGGGGUUAGUGGCGCACGGGUGCGUAACGCGUGGGAAUCUGCCCUUUGCUUCGGAAUAAUAGUUAGAAAUGACGGCUAAUACCGGGUGAUGUCUUCGGACCAAAGAUUUAUCGGCAAUGGAUGAGCCCGCGUAGGAUUAGGUAGUUGGUGGGGUAAAGGCCUACCAAGCCGACGAUCCUUAGCUGGUCUGAGAGGAUGAUCAGCCACACUGGGACUGAGACACGGCCCAGAAUCCUACGAGAAGCAGCGGUAGGCAGUAUUAGCCAAACGACGUAAGUCAAGUACAGCAAUGGCGUGUGAAUGCUUAAGGUCUGAGGAUAGAAACGCUCUUUUAACACCCAUGUUUACGACCGUACCCGGAAAAUAAAGCACGGCCAAACCUCUG
This 433-nucleotide ribosomal RNA is filed under the name uncultured bacterium. RNAcentral describes it as "partial 16S ribosomal RNA". It matches the Rfam family "Bacterial small subunit ribosomal RNA", at positions 29 to 507 of the family's 1533-position model. The record is from RNAcentral.